UUUAUUACUAAUAUCUUAUUGUAGAAGGGCCUUAAGUGUAAGCGUCUAAAGCAAAUGCACUACGUUUUUUGCACUGAACUCUAUAUACACUGGAAUGCGCAUCUCCAUCUAACAAGCAUAGCGAGACGUGGCACAAAUUGAUCAACGCCAGUUUUGUUUGGCCUGGUAUUUGAGCAAAUCAGAAGCGCGUUCCACGCGCGGUCCCGCUACAAGUUAGCGACAUGAGAUGCUGUGUGCCCGGGUGUGGGCAGAGAAGUGAAAAGAAGAUUUCAUCUCAUAGAUUUCCAGUGAAAGACCCGAAUCGAACUCAACAAUGGAUUUAUAGAAUAUAUGCGUUUUUGGAAAUGCAUAAUUGUAAACCAGAAAGCUUAAAAGAGACAAAAAAAUCUGUUUUAUGUUCCAAACAUUUCCUUAAUAGCGAUUACCUUGUUAUAAC
Long non-coding RNA from Pseudomyrmex gracilis, 436 nucleotides. RefSeq lists it as uncharacterized. The record is from RefSeq and is a predicted model, not a curated record. NCBI's taxonomy places the organism in Eukaryota, Metazoa, Arthropoda, Insecta, Hymenoptera, Formicidae. The transcript has 3 exons.